GUGAGUCAUCGAAUCUUUGAACGCAAAUUGCGCCUGAGGCUUGCCGAAGGCAUGCCUGUCUCAGCGUCGUCUUCACCCCUCCACUCCCUUUCUGGGUUGUGGGACCUGGCUGUCUCAGCUCUUAGAGCUGGGUCCGCCGAAGAGCAGAGGCCCGAACAGGACCCUCUAACAAAGGGCAACAGUCUGGUAGGCGACUCGUCGCAUGCCGCUGGUGCCCCGGGACUGCUGCACGGCCCGCAGGAAGAGUUCCUAACAAAGGAACUCAACUCUUUCAUCGACCUGAGAUCAGGCAGGAGCACC
This 300-nucleotide unclassified non-coding RNA is filed under the name uncultured fungus. Its description in RNAcentral is "sequence contains 5.8S rRNA gene, ITS2". The stretch from base 1 to 69 matches the Rfam family "5.8S ribosomal RNA", at positions 84 to 154 of the family's 154-position model. Lineage: Eukaryota; Fungi. The record is from RNAcentral.